GACUUCGUGGUGUAGUGGUCAGCACGCUCGACGCGUAUACAAGAGGUCCGUGGUUCGAGUCCCGGCGAGGGCA
This is a non-coding RNA of Stegodyphus mimosarum, 73 nucleotides long. NCBI's taxonomy places the organism in Eukaryota, Metazoa, Arthropoda, Arachnida, Araneae, Eresidae. The record is from Rfam.